CUACGGGUGGCUCCAGUGAGGAAUAUUGCACAAUGGGGGGAACCCUGAUGCAGCAACGCCGCGUGGAGGAUGACGCAUUUCGGUGUGUAAACUCCUUUUAUAUGUCAAGAAAAUGACGGUAGCAUAUGAAUAAGCACCGGCUAACUCCGUGCCAGCAGGCCGCGGUAAUACGGAGGGUGCAAGCGUUACUUGGAAUCACUGGGCGUAAAGGACGCGUAGGCGGGUUGGAAAGUCAGGUGUGAAAUCCUACAGCUUAACUGUAGAACUGCACUUGAAACUUCUAAUCUAGAGUAUGGGAGGGGGAGAUGGAAUUAGUGGUGUAGGGGUAAUAUCCGUAGAUAUCACUAGGAAUACCUAAAGCGAAGGCGAUCUCCUGGAACAUUACUGACGCUAAGGCGUGAAAGCGUGGGGAGCAAACAGGAUUAGAUACCCGCGUAGUC
RNAcentral lists this ribosomal RNA (440 nucleotides) under uncultured bacterium. RNAcentral's name for it is "partial 16S ribosomal RNA". It matches the Rfam family "Bacterial small subunit ribosomal RNA", at positions 339 to 795 of the family's 1533-position model. The record is from RNAcentral.